GAACGCUAGCGACAGGCCUAACACAUGCGAAGUCGGGGGGCAGCACAAGGAGCAAUCUGAGGUGGCGACCGGCGCACGGUGAGUAACACGUAUGCAACCUGCCUGUAAGCGGGGAAUAACCCGUUGAAAGACGGACUAAUACCGCAUAAUACUAAAUUACUGCAUGGUAAUUUAUUUAAACAUUUAUGGCUUACAGAUGGGCAUGCGCAUGAUUAGCUAGUUGGAGAGGUAACGGCUCCCCAAGGCAACGAUCAUUAGGGGUUCUGAGAGGAAGGUCCCCCACACUGGUACUGAGACACGGACCAGACUCCUACGGGAGGCAGCAGUGAGGAAUAUUGGUCAAUGGACGAGAGUCUGAACCAGCCAAGUCGCGUGCAGGAAGAAUGUUCCCUAUGGAUUGUAAACUGCUUUUGCAGGGGAAUAAAGUGCAUCACGUGUGAUGUUUUGUAUGUACUCUGCGAAUAAGGAUCGGCUAACUCCGUGCCAGCAGCUGC
Molecule: ribosomal RNA, 494 nt
Filed under: uncultured bacterium
Lineage: Bacteria
Description: bacterial SSU rRNA
Rfam family: Bacterial small subunit ribosomal RNA
Source: RNAcentral